Molecule: long non-coding RNA, 1002 nt
Filed under: Citrus sinensis (sweet orange)
Lineage: Eukaryota; Viridiplantae; Streptophyta; Magnoliopsida; Sapindales; Rutaceae
Description: long non-coding RNA (CSIN_LNC005506)
Source: RNAcentral
CCGAAAUUGGAUCUUUAAGCUUGUUUUUGUUCCAACAAUGGUGGGUGGUGAAAAAUCCAAGAGCAAACAAGUUGCCAAGAGACGCAAGGACGAUUAUGGAGAUAAUACGGAGUUCAUAUCAACCCACUUUCAACAUCUACCUCUUCAGAAACGGUUUCAUGACAAUUUUAUGUCGAGGUCGGUUAUCGCUCCCUAUUUUGUCAAUCUUCGUAAUUUGAAGAAUUUAUGUUUCUCUCUCUUCAUUUUCAACCUUCCUUUAGCCCAUUUUUAAUUCAAUCUACAUCAUAAAUUACCUUCAUUCAUCUCUAGGAUUGAUUUUCUUGCCUCAAACAAAUCCAUUUCACUCAAUUUUUUUUUUAAACCCGAAAUUGGAUCUUUAAGCUUGUUUUUGUUCCAACAAUGGUGGGUGGUGAAAAAUCCAAGAGCAAACAAGUUGCCAAGAGACGCAAGGACGAUUAUGGAGAUAAUACGGAGUUCAUAUCAACCCACUUUCAGCAUCUACCUCUUCGGAAACGGUUUCACGACAAUUUUAUGUCGAGGUCGGUUAUCGCUCCCUAUUUUGUCAAUCUUCGUAAUUUGAAGAAUUUAGAAAUAUGUGACAAAUCUCUUAGUUAUUUUCUCAUUGCUAUGGGCUGGAAAAAUGUUUUAGUUAUUAAGGAGCAAUACUAUGAAAAUUUAGUUAAGGUGUUUUAUUCGAAUAUGAUUAUGGGAUCCUCGGAUAGAAUUGUUACAAGUGUUGGGGGAAUUCAUAUUGAAUUUGAUGAUUGAUGAUUAUAUGUGUGUCGCUUGAAGAAUUGAUGGAGUUGUUGAUUUGUUAUAAUUGUUUAAGCUUAUAUGAAAGUGUUUUUAACCAUGUUGUGUAUUUGAGGAUUUGUUCAUUUUUAAGGGGAGACUCUGCCAAAAUUUUUUGCUCGCACAAAAUGGGUAAUAUCUUCAUCGAAUUAUUUUUGAUGAUCUUGUUUCGAAUUGCAUCUUUCUAUCUUUUAUUUUUUAUGAUAAAGG